AUGUUUCUGGUAGAUAUUUUUAAGUAACUUGAUAUAAUAGAUUAAAAUGUAUAUAUUUCAAAAGAGAAAAGGAAGCAGUAAGAAAUAAGAUAGAGGAGGGCCUUUGACAAGAUGGCGGCAGGAGGCAGUGGCGUUGGUGGGAAGCACAGCUCGAAAAGCGAUAACGAUUCUGGUUUCCUGGGGCUGCGGCCCAUUUCGGCGGACCCAGCGCUGAGGCGGCGGCGGCGGCGAGGCCCAAGAAAUAAGAAGUGGGACUGGCGGAGGCUUGCGCAGGAGCCGCUGGGGCUGGAGGUUGACCAGUUCCUGGAAGACGUGCGGCUACAGGGGCGCAUGAGCGGUGGCUUGUUGAGAGAGGCCCCAAAUGAAAAACUCUUCUUCGUGGACACCGGCUCCAAGGAAAAAGGGCUAAGAAGAGAACCAAAGUCCAGAAGAAGUCACUGCUUCUCAAGAAACCCCUUCGGGUUGACCUCAUCCUCGAGACACAUCCAAAGUCCCUGCCCCCAAAGACGUCCUCGCCCACCAGGUCCCGAACGCCAAGAAGCUCAGGCGGAAGGAGCAGCUAUGGGAGAAUCUGGCCAAGCAGGGCGAGCUGCCCCGGGAGGUGCGCAGGGCCCAGGCCCGGCUCCUCAACCCUCCCACAGCCGGGGCCAAGCCCGGGCCCCAGGACACCGUGGAGCGGCCCUUCUACGAACUCUGGGCAUCAGACAACCCCCUGGACUGGCCAUUGUUUGGCCAGGAUGAGUUUUUCCUGGAGCAGACCAAGAAGAAAGGAGUGAAGCGGCCACCACGCCUGCACACCAAGCCGUCCCAGGCACCCGCCGUGGAGGUGGCGCCUGCCGGAGCUUCCUACAACCCGUACUUUGAAGACCACCAGACCCUGCUCUCAGCGGCCCACGAGGUGGAGUUGCAGCGGCAGAAGGAGGCGGAGAAGCUGGAGCGGCAGCUGGCCCUGCCCGCCACAGAGCAGGCCGCCACCCAGGAGUCCACGUUCCAGGUAGCCGUGCGAGGGGCUGCUGGAGGAGUCAGAGGGUCCGGGGGAGCCAGGCCAGGGCGAGGGGCCGGAGGCUGGGGAUGCCGAGGUCUGUCCCACGCCCACCCGCCUGGCCGCCACAGAGAAGGAGACGGAGCAGCAGCGGCGGCGGGAGAAGGCUGCGCGCAGGCUGCGGGUACAGCAGGCCGCGUUGCGGACUGCCAGGCUCCGGCCCCGGCACCGGGAGGUGUUCCUGCUGCGCGGGAUCAAGGCCCAGGUGGCCCUGAGGCUGGCGGAGCUGGCGCGGCGGCGGAGGCAGCGGCAGGCACGGCGGAAGGCCGAGGCUGACAAGCCCCGAAGGCUGGGGCGGCUCAAGUACCAGGCACCUGACAUCGACGUGCAGCUGAGCUCGGAGCUGGCAGACUCGCUCAGGACCCUGAAGCCCGAGGGCGACAUCCUUCGAGGCCGGUUCAAGAGCUUCCAGAGGAGGAAUAUGAUCCAGCCUCGACAGAGAGCCAAGUUCAAACCCAGGUACAAGGUGAAGCUGGGGGAGAAGCGGGCGUUCCGCGAGAUCCAGUUGUAGCUCCCAUCAGAGGCCGGAGCCUCGCCUUUCAAUAAAAAGUCCCUUCUAGCUAAAAAAAAAAAAAAAAAAAAAGAGGAGGAAGAAUUGCAAAUAAAAUGGCAGGCAUAGUUCUAAGUGCUUUACAUAUGUAUUCACAGUAAACCUUCGAAAA
Homo sapiens (human) is the source of this 1704-nucleotide RNA transcript. It is a transcript of the gene named NOP53 pseudogene 1, with no coding region annotated. Lineage: Eukaryota; Metazoa; Chordata; Mammalia; Primates; Hominidae. The record is from RefSeq and is marked validated. The transcript has a single exon.